This 254-nucleotide ribosomal RNA is filed under the name uncultured bacterium. Its description in RNAcentral is "partial 16S ribosomal RNA". It matches the Rfam family "Bacterial small subunit ribosomal RNA", at positions 524 to 776 of the family's 1533-position model. The record is from RNAcentral.
UACGUAGGGGGCAAGCGUUGUCCGGAUUUAUUGGGCGUAAAGAGCUCGUAGGCGGCUCGGUAAGUCGGAUGUGAAACCUCCAGGCUCAACCUGGAGACGCCAUCUGAUACUGCCGUGGCUUGAGUCCGGUAGAGGAGCAGGGAAUUCCUGGUGUAGCGGUGAAAUGCGCAGAUAUCAGGAGGAACACCGGUGGCGAAGGCGGUGAUCUGGGCCGGCACUGACGCUGAGGAGCGAAAGCGUGGGUAGCAAACAGG